This 614-nucleotide ribosomal RNA is filed under the name Scrippsiella aff. acuminata. RNAcentral describes it as "LSU rRNA". It matches the Rfam family "Eukaryotic large subunit ribosomal RNA", at positions 43 to 646 of the family's 3401-position model. The record is from RNAcentral. Lineage: Eukaryota; Dinophyceae; Peridiniales; Peridiniaceae.
UAAGUAAGCGGAGGAAAAGAAACUAAAUAGGAUUCCCUCAGUAAUGGCGAAUGAACAGGGAUGAGCUCAGUAUGGAAAUUGGGGCCUGUGGCCUUGAAUUGUAGUCUGGAGAUGUACUACCAACUGGGGCGCAGAUGUAAGCCUCUUGGAAAAGAGCAUCAAUGAGGGUGAGAGUCCCGCUUGGCAUCUGCAGUCCCCAGUGCACGGUGUACCUUCUAAGAGUCACGUUCCUCGGGAUUGGAGCGCAAAUUGGGUGGUAAAUUUCAUCUAAAGCUAAAUAUUGUUUCGAGACCGAUAGCAAACAAGUACCAUGAGGGAAAGGUGAAAAGGACUUUGAAAAGAGAGUUAAAAGUGCCUGAAAUUGCUGAAAGGGAAGCGAAUGGAACCAGCGUAACUUGGUGAGAUUGCUGCGUAUCAAUGUGAUUGCUUGCUGCUUCAACGUAAGUGUGGUAGUAAGUCUUGAACAGGACAUGCGUGGUGUUUCUUGCCUUGUGUGUCACUGCCAGUUCACAGCUGGGGAAAACUUCAGGGGCAUGGUAGCUUGUCUCCGGAUGGGUGAACGUGUCUGCUGGAACUCAUUUGUGGACUGAUUGGUGACUAAAUGGUUCCAUCUG